Long non-coding RNA from Drosophila gunungcola (fruit fly), 880 nucleotides. RefSeq lists it as uncharacterized. NCBI's taxonomy places the organism in Eukaryota, Metazoa, Arthropoda, Insecta, Diptera, Drosophilidae. The transcript is spliced from 3 exons. The record is from RefSeq and is a predicted model, not a curated record.
AUGGAUCUGCUAGGCUUUGUGUAAAUUAUCGUGAACUCAAUAGAAACACAGUUGCUGACAAAUUUCCAUUACCGUUAAUAUCUGAUCAGAUUGCUAAAUUGCGGGGAGCCAAGUAUUUCACUUGUUUAGACAUGGAGUGCGGAAAUCAUCAAGUGCCGUUUCAUGCUGACUCAAUUGAAUACACUGCUUUUGUGACACCCGACGCAGUGAUAAAAGCAUUAGGCGAGCUAGCAUACUCAUUUGUGAUUGUGUACAUGGAUGGAUAGUGGCAUCCACUAAGGAAGAAGCAUUUGGAAAUUGUAUUAAAGAUUUUAAUAGAUGCUGGUUUUUCGUUUAGUGUAGAAUAAUGUUCCUUCUUGAGAGAAACUGUGCAGUAUUUGGGGAACGAAGUUCAGGCUGGUGAGAUCCGUCCCAAUUUGCUAUUGCAGGCAACCGUAUGUGGUGGAUUUCUUCAGCAAAGCUACAAGCCCUUGUGAGUCCAGAUACACAUCGUACGAGUUGACUUGCUGUUGUCAAUUCUGUUAAGUAUUUUAAACACUUUUUUAUUUUUACUGAUUGUAAUUCGUUGAAAGCAUCCAGAACAAAAAAUGAAUUAUCAUCUAGAGUAUACCGUUGGUGGGCCUUUCUACAGUGAUUUGAGUUUAAUAUAGAGUACCGCGAAGGAAAGCGCAUGGAACAUGAAGGUUGCUGAGAAGCGUGUGGAACUGAUGAGCAUCACCGAGAGCUGGAUCCAAGCACUACAGCAGCGUGAUCAGGACAUUUUCAAUACAAUUAAAAAACUAAGAGAUAUCCACACGAGAGCUUACGUAGAAUAGGUUUAUAAAUUGUCGUUAGUGGAAUGGAACAUAACGAGGGGCUUACGGCCUAUUUUUUAAGUGCC